GGGCCGGUGGUCUAGUGGCUAUGACACCACCCUUACAAGGUGGUUAUCGUCGGUUCGAAUCCGACUCGGCCCA
RNAcentral lists this transfer RNA (73 nucleotides) under Candidatus Iainarchaeum sp. RNAcentral's name for it is "tRNA-Val". It matches the Rfam family "tRNA". Rfam says of the family: Transfer RNA (tRNA) molecules are approximately 80 nucleotides in length. Their secondary structure includes four short double-helical elements and three loops (D, anti-codon, and T loops). The record is from RNAcentral. Lineage: Archaea; Nanobdellati; Candidatus Iainarchaeota; Candidatus Iainarchaeia; Candidatus Iainarchaeales; Candidatus Iainarchaeaceae.